AGCCCAGAGCCUGAAUCAGUGUGUGUGUUAGUGGAAGCGUCUGGAAAGGCGCGCGAUACAGGGUGACAGCCCCGUACACAAAAAUGCACAUGCUGUGAGCUCGAUGAGUAGGGCGGGACACGUGGUAUCCUGUCUGAAUAUGGGGGGACCAUCCUCCAAGGCUAAAUACUCCUGACUGACCGAUAGUGAACCAGUACCGUGAG
RNAcentral lists this ribosomal RNA (203 nucleotides) under Escherichia coli. RNAcentral's name for it is "partial 23S ribosomal RNA". It matches the Rfam family "Bacterial large subunit ribosomal RNA", at positions 296 to 507 of the family's 2925-position model. Lineage: Bacteria; Pseudomonadati; Pseudomonadota; Gammaproteobacteria; Enterobacterales; Enterobacteriaceae. The record is from RNAcentral.